Molecule: ribosomal RNA, 406 nt
Filed under: uncultured bacterium
Lineage: Bacteria
Description: partial 16S ribosomal RNA
Rfam family: Bacterial small subunit ribosomal RNA
Source: RNAcentral
AUUGAACGCUGGCGGCAGGCCUAACACAUGCAAGUCGAACGAGUGGCGGACGGGUGAGUAAUGUAGGGGAAACUGCCUGAUGGAGGGGGCUAACUACUGGAAACGGUAGCUAAUACCGCAUAACAUCAGAUGUGCCCAGAUGGGAGUAGCUUGUUGGUGGGGUAACGGCUCACCAAGGCGACAAUCCCUAGCUGGUCUGAGAGGAUGACCAGCCACACUGGACCUGAGCCACGGUCCAGACGCCUACGGGAGGCAGCAGUGGGGAAUAUUGCACAAUGGGCGAAAGCCUGCUGCAGCCAUGCCGCGUGUAUGAAGAAGGCCUUCGGGUUGUAAAGCACUUUCAGCGGGGAGGCGUUACCCGCAGAAGAAGCACCGGCUAACUCCGUGCCAGCAGCCGCGGUAAUUC